This is a long non-coding RNA of Cataglyphis hispanica, 227 nucleotides long. RefSeq lists it as uncharacterized. NCBI's taxonomy places the organism in Eukaryota, Metazoa, Arthropoda, Insecta, Hymenoptera, Formicidae. The record is from RefSeq and is a predicted model, not a curated record. The transcript has 2 exons.
UGAGGUUCACCGCGGAAGCUCGAAGAUUCAAUUGAUAUUCCCCGAAGAGCAUGGCCGCUAACCAUCUGUACUGCUCGUCCUUGGAUGUUCCUGCCAAGAUGUUGCCGAAAUACGGGCUAUCCUUACAUCUAGAAAGGAUUUUUGUUUUUUACAAUGAAUGUGAUGGACCAGCUGUGAUAUGAGAAAUACAUUCUGAUAAGUAAGGAUGGUUUUAUAAUCAUAUUAAA